UACGUAGGGGGCGAGCGUUGUCCGAAGUUACUGGGCGUAAAGCGCGCGUAGGCGGUCUCUUAAGUCCGGGGUGAAAGGUUCAGCGCUCAACGCGAACAGUGCCCUGGAGACUGGGGGACUUGAGUGUGGGAGGGGGCAGUGGAAUUCCGGGCGUAGCGGUGAAAUGCGUAGAUAUCCGGAGGAACACCGAUGGCGAAGGCAGCUGCCUGGCCUGACACUGACGCUGAGGUGCGAAAGCGUGGGGAGCGAACGGG
Molecule: ribosomal RNA, 254 nt
Filed under: uncultured bacterium
Lineage: Bacteria
Description: partial 16S ribosomal RNA
Rfam family: Bacterial small subunit ribosomal RNA
Source: RNAcentral